AAAUUGAAGAGUUUGAUCAUGGCUCAGAUUGAACGCUGGCGGCAGGCCUAACACAUGCAAGUCGAGCGG
RNAcentral lists this ribosomal RNA (69 nucleotides) under Klebsiella aerogenes. RNAcentral describes it as "partial 16S ribosomal RNA". It matches the Rfam family "Bacterial small subunit ribosomal RNA", at positions 1 to 69 of the family's 1533-position model. The record is from RNAcentral. Lineage: Bacteria; Pseudomonadati; Pseudomonadota; Gammaproteobacteria; Enterobacterales; Enterobacteriaceae. RNAcentral also lists the same sequence under 27 other names.